CCAGGCCAGAGCAAGUGCUCUAGGAUCUGAACUGCCCGCAGUGCAGCCCUGCAGCCUUUCCCAGGGCACGUUGAUGUGCACACAGUUUCCCUGAAGGCAAAGUGAACAUGUGGAGAGCUUACGUGGCAGCGCGUAUGUCUUCAGUGUGUGUUUUAGAAGUCCAACUGUUGUUUUUAUGUUUUUAAAGGAAAGAUUUGAAUCAAGCAGUUAUGGGCCCCCUGAAGUAUCCUUUUUUCUAGAACAUUCUGAAAGUCAUCCUUGCCUAUGGGAAGCCUAGGCCGGCCUGCACUGUUAUGUUCAAUAAAUAAGCAGGGUGCUCUGGGCUGGGGAUUGUGUGAGGAGCAGAGCGCAGCCCGUCCUCAUGCUUUUCCACUGAAGUAGGCCAGGCAGAGAGGGAGUACAGCAAUGGAUGCGCUUUGGCAGCUGAGUAGUCCGAGAGCCAGAAAAGAAAUGUGGAAAAUAAGAACGCUGUAGCAGGCCUAGGUGAGGAAAUUUAGGAAGGGUUUGCGGGAGGUAGGAUUUGAGAUGGGUCUUGGAGAGUUGGACAGUGUCAGCCGGUAGGACGGGGGUGCGGACGGAAGCCUGUGAGGAAGGCAGAGGAUGCGGAGCUGUGAGCGGAGGGAGCAGCGAGGCUGGAGAGCAGCUGGGCUGCGGGUCAAGACGUCUGCGUUUAAUUCGGGACUGAAGGUUAGCAGGGAAGGGAACGAUGCCAGAUCUUGAGUUUAAGAACUUGAAUCUUGUAAAGUACCAAAUCUAAUAAAAUACUCGU
Molecule: long non-coding RNA, 769 nt
Filed under: Homo sapiens (human)
Lineage: Eukaryota; Metazoa; Chordata; Mammalia; Primates; Hominidae
Description: long non-coding RNA NONHSAT229856
Source: RNAcentral